UACGUAGGGGGCAAGCGUUGUCCGGAAUCAUUGGGCGUAAAGAGCGCGUAGGCGGCUUUGCAAGUGACGGGUGAAAGCCCUCGGCUUAACCGAGGAACUGCCUGUCAGACUGUAAGGCUUGAGACCGGGAGAGGUGAGUGGAAUUCCCAGUGUAGCGGUGAAAUGCGUAGAUAUUGGGAGGAACACCAGUGGCGAAGGCGGCUCACUGGACCGGAACUGACGCUGAGGCGCGAAAGCGUGGGGAGCAAACAGG
Molecule: ribosomal RNA, 253 nt
Filed under: uncultured bacterium
Lineage: Bacteria
Description: partial 16S ribosomal RNA
Rfam family: Bacterial small subunit ribosomal RNA
Source: RNAcentral